RNAcentral lists this ribosomal RNA (468 nucleotides) under uncultured bacterium. RNAcentral describes it as "partial 16S ribosomal RNA". It matches the Rfam family "Bacterial small subunit ribosomal RNA", at positions 28 to 507 of the family's 1533-position model. The record is from RNAcentral.
GACGAACGCUGGCGGCGUGCUUAACACAUGCAAGUCGAACGGAAAGGCCCUGCUUUUGUGGGGUGCUCGAGUGGCGAACGGGUGAGUAACACGUGAGUAACCUGCCCUUGACUUUGGGAUAACUUCAGGAAACUGGGGCUAAUACCGGAUAGGAGCUCCUGCUGCAUGGUGGGGGUUGGAAAGUUUCGGCGGUUGGGGAUGGACUCGCGGCUUAUCAGCUUGUUGGUGGGGUAGUGGCUUACCAAGGGUUUGACGGGUAGCCGGCCUGAGAGGGUGACCGGCGACAAGGGGACUAAGAGACGGCCCAGAAUGCUACGGGAGGCAGCAGUGGGGAAUAUUACACAAUGGGCGGAAGCCUGAGGCAGCAGCGCCGCGUGCGGGAUGACGGCUUUCGGGUGGUAAACAGCUGUCGCCGGUGACGAAGCGUGAGUGACGGUAAUGGGUAAAGAAGCACCGGCUAACUACGUG